GUCUCAGUUCGGAUCGCAGGCUGCAACCCGCCUGCGUGAAGUCGGAAUCGCUAGUAAUCGCGGAUCAGCAUGCCGCGGUGAAUACGUUCCCGGGCCUUGUACACACCGCCCGUCACACCAUGAGAGUCGGGAACACCCGAAGCCCGUAGCCUAACUUGCAAGAGAGGGCGCGGUCGAAGGUGGGUUCGAUAAUUGGGGUGAAGUCGUAACAAGGUACC
RNAcentral lists this ribosomal RNA (218 nucleotides) under uncultured bacterium. RNAcentral describes it as "partial 16S ribosomal RNA". It matches the Rfam family "Bacterial small subunit ribosomal RNA", at positions 1285 to 1500 of the family's 1533-position model. The record is from RNAcentral.